CCCCAGACUCCUACGGGAGGCAGCAGUGGGGGAUAUUGCACAAUGGGGGGAACCCUGAUGCAGCGACGCCGCGUGGGUGAAGGAGUAUUUCGGUAUGUAAAGCCCUAUCGGCAGGGAAGAAGCAAGACGGUACCUGACUAAGAAGCCCCGGCUAACUACGUGCCAGCAGCCGCGGUAACACGUAGGGGGCAAGCGUUAUCCGGAUUCACUGGGUGUAAAGGGAGCGUAGACGGCGACGCAAGUCUGGAGUGAAAGCCCGGGGCCCAACCCCGGGACUGCUCUGGAAACUGCGGCGCUGGAGUGCGGGAGGGGGAGGCGGAAUUCCUGGUGUAGCGGUGAAAUGCGUAGAUAUCAGGAGGAACACCGGCGGCGAAGGCGGCCUGCUGGACCGUGACUGACGUUGAGGCUCGAGAGCGUGGGGAGCAAACAGGAUUAGAUACCCUAGUAA
RNAcentral lists this ribosomal RNA (448 nucleotides) under uncultured bacterium. RNAcentral's name for it is "partial 16S ribosomal RNA". It matches the Rfam family "Bacterial small subunit ribosomal RNA", at positions 329 to 793 of the family's 1533-position model. The record is from RNAcentral.